CAGUCGCCGCGGGAAUACGAAGGGGGCUAGCGUUGUUCGGAUUUACUGGGCGUAAAGGGCGCGUAGGCGGACUGAUAAGUCAGAGGUGAAAUCCCAAGGCUCAACCUUGGAACUGCCUUUGAUACUGUUUGUCUUGAGUUCGAGAGAGGUAAGUGGAACUGCGAGUGUAGAGGUGAAAUUCGUAGAUAUUCGCAAGAACACCAGUGGCGAAGGCGGCUUACUGGCUCGAAACUGACGCUGAGGCGCGAAAGCGUGGGGAGCAAACAGGAUUAGAUACCCCUGUAGUCCCUGUCUCUUAUAC
Molecule: ribosomal RNA, 301 nt
Filed under: uncultured bacterium
Lineage: Bacteria
Description: partial 16S ribosomal RNA
Rfam family: Bacterial small subunit ribosomal RNA
Source: RNAcentral